CCUACGGGUGGCAGCAGUGAGGAAUAUUGGUCAAUGGACGAGACUCUGAACCAGCCAAGUAGCGUGAAGGAUGACUGCCCUAUGGGUUGUAAACUUCUUUUAUAAAGGAAUAAAACGAGGCACGUGUGCCUUUUUGCAUGUACUUUAUGAAUAAGGAACGGCUAAUUCCGUGCCAGCAGCCGCGGUAAUACGGAGGUUCCGGGCGUUAUCCGGAUUUAUUGGGUUUAAAGGGAGCGUAGAUGGGUUGUUAAGUCAGUUGUGAAAGUUCGCGGCUCAACCGUGAAAUUGCAGUGGAUACUGGCAGGCUUGAGUACAGUUGAGGUAGGCGGAAUUCGUGGUGUAGCGGUGAAAUGCUUAGAUAUCACGAAGAACCCCGAUUGCGAAGGCAGCUUACUAAACUGUGACUGACAUUGAUGCUCGAAGGUGUGGGUAUCAAACAGGAUUAGAUACCCCGGUAGUC
RNAcentral lists this ribosomal RNA (460 nucleotides) under uncultured bacterium. RNAcentral's name for it is "partial 16S ribosomal RNA". It matches the Rfam family "Bacterial small subunit ribosomal RNA", at positions 338 to 795 of the family's 1533-position model. The record is from RNAcentral.